Hippocampus zosterae (dwarf seahorse) is the source of this 1230-nucleotide RNA transcript. It is a transcript of the gene named CD74 molecule, major histocompatibility complex, class II invariant chain a, with no coding region annotated. The transcript has 8 exons. The record is from RefSeq and is a predicted model, not a curated record. NCBI's taxonomy places the organism in Eukaryota, Metazoa, Chordata, Actinopteri, Syngnathiformes, Syngnathidae.
UCAUUCCAACCAGUCUGGUUUCUCUUCCUCUCUUUUUAAGGGAGGUAUUUAAUAUAAAAGAAAGCUUGUUGUAGACCAGUGUGACAGGAAAAAACGUAGGCAACGCCAAAUAAUGGAGGAAGCUGGUGAAAACGCGCCUCUGGAUAGGGCAGGCAGUGCUGAACGUUUGGUUGGUGAACCAAGAUCCAGACGUGGCUCCACUGGCUACGCCCUGAAAGUGGCAGGCCUGACUACUCUGGCAUGUCUGCUGCUGGCCAGUCAGGUGUUUGUAGCCUUCAUGGUGUUUGACCAAAGGCAACAGAUCCAAACGUUGCAGAAGGACUCCGACAAAUUAAGCAGGCAGCUGCACGCAACUCAAGUGGCUCCAAUAAAGAUUCGCGGGCCAAUUAACCACUUCCCAAUGAUGCAGGCAUUUGUGGAUUUGGACUCGGUGGCAACCAAGGCACCUGUGAAACAGGAAGAGAAGAAGAGUGAUUCUGUUGGCGUGGAUGAAAUGAUUGGUCUCAUGGAGGGCAACUUUGAGAUGCCCAAAUUCAACGACACCAUUCUGGGGAACAUGAAGGGCUUGAAGAAGCAGCUGAGCCAAAGUGACUGGAAGAGCUUUGAAUCUUGGCUGCGCAACUGGAUAAUCUUCAAGAUGUCUACAACCCCUACUGUUUGAAGAAACGAAGCCAAGUGCUGCAUAUUUCUUCAUCUGGUUGAUAUGCAUAAUAAUCAUUUCAUUUCAUAUAGGCUAUUGUAAGGGAACUCGCCUACUGUAGUGUGGCUUGCUACAUUAUUUGCUUGUUCAUUGUUCAUCAUCAUUAGUUGCUUGGUGUUACAUUGAUUGCUUGUUCACCGGAAAGGUUGUUCAGGGUUCUUCACGGCAUUUACAUCUAAAGAUCAAAAUAAACCACAGUAAUUUUUUUCGAGUUUUAUUUGAUUUGCAUUUAAAAAUAUUGGAGUUUUUUUUUUUAACACAGGCUCAUGUAUUAGCUCACACUGGAUUGUGCUCGCAUCUGCGUCAGUUUUGUCAUUUAACUGCAUGGAGAAAAAAUUUACACAAAAAAUAGUUUUUUUCAUAUAAAAUUGCAUGCAAAGUAUACAAAGCUUGGGUGAAUCAAUUUUUAGUGGUUAGCAAAGAACUUUAUUUUGGUGGAAAGAUGUUGCAAUAAAGUUUGAAUAGAUUCAAAAAACUUUGAUCACAAAUUGUGAGUAAUGUGUUGAACAAUAAACUCAGAACUGUUCAAA